AUUGAACGCUGGCGGCAUGCCUUACACAUGCAAGUCGAACGGCAGCACGGGAGCAAUCCUGGUGGCGAGUGGCGAACGGGUGAGUAAUAUAUCGGAACGUGCCCAGUCGUGGGGAUAACGUAGCGAAAGCUACGCUAAUACCGCAUACGAUCUAUGGAUGAAAGCGGGGGAUCGCAAGACCUCGCGCGAUUGGAGCGGCCGAUAUCAGAUUAGGUAGUUGGUGAGGUAAAGGCUCACCAAGCCGACGAUCUGUAGCUGGUCUGAGAGGACGACCAGCCACACUGGGACUGAGACACGGCCCAGACUCCUACGGGAGGCAGCAGUGGGGAAUUUUGGACAAUGGGCGCAAGCCUGAUCCAGCAAUGCCGCGUGCAGGAUGAAGGCCUCGGUUGGUUAAGUUA
RNAcentral lists this ribosomal RNA (401 nucleotides) under uncultured bacterium. RNAcentral's name for it is "bacterial SSU rRNA". It matches the Rfam family "Bacterial small subunit ribosomal RNA", at positions 30 to 432 of the family's 1533-position model. The record is from RNAcentral.